AACCUAUGAUGAGGGCACCUUCUCAAAAGAUUCUUAAAUCUCUCCCAUGCCUCAUAUAAUAUCUCCAAAACAAUUUGAGCAAAAAAAGAGAUGUCGUUCCUCAACUU
This is a small nucleolar RNA of Gossypium raimondii (Peruvian cotton), 107 nucleotides long. It matches the Rfam family "Plant small nucleolar RNA R71". Rfam says of the family: R71 is a member of the C/D box family of snoRNAs containing the C (UGAUGA) and D (CUGA) box motifs. Multiple nearly identical copies of this snoRNA have been identified in Arabidopsis, and it is thought to function as a 2'-O-ribose methylation guide for 18S ribosomal RNA. The record is from Rfam. NCBI's taxonomy places the organism in Eukaryota, Viridiplantae, Streptophyta, Magnoliopsida, Malvales, Malvaceae.